Molecule: transfer RNA, 69 nt
Filed under: Ictidomys tridecemlineatus (thirteen-lined ground squirrel)
Lineage: Eukaryota; Metazoa; Chordata; Mammalia; Rodentia; Sciuridae
Description: Spermophilus tridecemlineatus (thirteen-lined ground squirrel) tRNA
Rfam family: tRNA
About the family: Transfer RNA (tRNA) molecules are approximately 80 nucleotides in length. Their secondary structure includes four short double-helical elements and three loops (D, anti-codon, and T loops). Further hydrogen bonds mediate the characteristic L-shaped molecular structure. tRNAs have two regions of fundamental functional importance: the anti-codon, which is responsible for specific mRNA codon recognition, and the 3' end, to which the tRNAs corresponding amino acid is attached (by aminoacyl-tRNA synthetases). tRNAs cope with the degeneracy of the genetic code in two manners: having more than one tRNA (with a specific anti-codon) for a particular amino acid; and 'wobble' base-pairing, i.e. permitting non-standard base-pairing at the 3rd anti-codon position.
Source: Rfam by way of RNAcentral
GGGAUUGUAGCUCUGUGGUAGAGCACUUGCCUAGCACGUGUGAGGUACUGGGUUCGAUUCUCAGCACCA